Molecule: transfer RNA, 81 nt
Filed under: Felis catus (domestic cat)
Lineage: Eukaryota; Metazoa; Chordata; Mammalia; Carnivora; Felidae
Rfam family: tRNA
About the family: Transfer RNA (tRNA) molecules are approximately 80 nucleotides in length. Their secondary structure includes four short double-helical elements and three loops (D, anti-codon, and T loops).
Source: Rfam by way of RNAcentral
GCCUGGGUGGCUCAGUCGGUUGAGUGUCUGACUUUGGCUCAGGUCAUGAUGUCAUGAUGGGUUCGAGCCCCGUGUCAAGCU